This 492-nucleotide ribosomal RNA is filed under the name uncultured bacterium. RNAcentral's name for it is "partial 16S ribosomal RNA". It matches the Rfam family "Bacterial small subunit ribosomal RNA", at positions 29 to 507 of the family's 1533-position model. The record is from RNAcentral.
AGUGAACGCUGGCGGUAGGCCUAACACAUGCAAGUCGAACGGCAGCACAGUAAGAGCUUGCUCUUACGGGUGGCGAGUGGCGGACGGGUGAGGAAUACAUCGGAAUCUACUUUUUCGUGGGGGAUAACGUAGGGAAACUUACGCUAAUACCGCAUACGACCUACGGGUGAAAGCAGGGGAUCUUCGGACCUUGCGCGAUUGAAUGAGCCGAUGUCGGAUUAGCUAGUUGGCGGGGUAAAGGCCCACCAAGGCGACGAUCCGUAGCUGGUCUGAGAGGAUGAUCAGCCACACUGGAAGUGAGACACGGUCCAGACUCCUACGGGAGGCAGCAGUGGGGAAUAUUGGACAAUGGGCGCAAGCCUGAUCCAGCCAUACCGCGUGGGUGAAGAAGGCCUUCGGGUUGUAAAGCCCUUUUGUUGGGAAAGAAAAGCAGCAGGUUAAUACCCCGCUGCUCUGACGGUACCCAAAGAUUAAGCACCGGCUAACUUCGUG